CACGUAGGCGGAUAUUUAAGUCAGGGGUGAAAUCCCAGAGCUCAACUCUGGAACUGCCUUCGAUACUGGCGGUCUUGAGUAUGGUAGAGGUUGGUGGAACUCCGAGUGUAGAGGUGAAAUUCGUAGAUAUUCGGAAGAACACCAGUGGCGAAGGCGGCCAACUGGACCAUUACUGACGCUGAGGUGCGAAAGCGUGGGGAGCAAACA
This 207-nucleotide ribosomal RNA is filed under the name uncultured bacterium. RNAcentral's name for it is "partial 16S ribosomal RNA". It matches the Rfam family "Bacterial small subunit ribosomal RNA", at positions 568 to 774 of the family's 1533-position model. The record is from RNAcentral.